GAUGAACGCUGGCGGCGUGCCUAAUACAUGCAAGUCGAGCGAACAGACGAGGAGCUUGCUCCUCUGACGUUAGCGGCGGACGGGUGAGUAACACGUGGAUAACCUACCUAUAAGACUGGGAUAACUUCGGGAAGCCGGAGCUAAUACCGGAUAAUAUAUUGAACCGCAUGGUUCAAUAGUGAAAGACGGUUUUGCUGUCACUUAUAGAUGGAUCCGCGCCGCAUUAGCUAGUUGGUAAGGUGACGGCUUACCAAGGCAACGAUGCGUAGCCGACCUGAGAGGGUGAUCGGCCACACUGGAACUGAGACACGGUCCAGACUCCUACGGGAGGCAGCAGUAGGGAAUCUUCCGCAAUGGGCGAAAGCCUGACGGAGCAACGCCGCGUGAGGGAUGAAGGUCUUCGGAUCGUAAAACGCUGUUAUUAGGGAAGAACAAAUGUGUAAGUAACUAUGCACGUCUUGACGGUACCUAAUCAGAAAGCCACGGCUAACUACGUG
RNAcentral lists this ribosomal RNA (497 nucleotides) under uncultured bacterium. RNAcentral's name for it is "partial 16S ribosomal RNA". It matches the Rfam family "Bacterial small subunit ribosomal RNA", at positions 28 to 507 of the family's 1533-position model. The record is from RNAcentral.